This 253-nucleotide ribosomal RNA is filed under the name uncultured bacterium. Its description in RNAcentral is "partial 16S ribosomal RNA". It matches the Rfam family "Bacterial small subunit ribosomal RNA", at positions 524 to 776 of the family's 1533-position model. The record is from RNAcentral.
UACGUAGGGUGCAAGCGUUGUCCGGAAUUACUGGGCGUAAAGAGCUCGUAGGCGGUCUGUCGCGUCGGCUGUGAAAACUCGGGGCUCAACCCCGAGCCUGCAGUCGAUACGGGCAGACUAGAGUGCGGUAGGGGAGACUGGAAUUCCUGGUGUAGCGGUGAAAUGCGCAGAUAUCAGGAGGAACACCGGUGGCGAAGGCGGGUCUCUGGGCCGUAACUGACGCUGAGGAGCGAAAGCGUGGGGAGCAAACAGG